CGGGAAGUAGCUCAAUGGUAGAGCGACGAAAAAGCCGUAUGUUAGAGGUUCAAGUCCUCUCUUCCCGA
RNAcentral lists this transfer RNA (68 nucleotides) under Lachnospira sp. Its description in RNAcentral is "tRNA-Phe". It matches the Rfam family "tRNA". Rfam says of the family: Transfer RNA (tRNA) molecules are approximately 80 nucleotides in length. Their secondary structure includes four short double-helical elements and three loops (D, anti-codon, and T loops). Lineage: Bacteria; Bacillati; Bacillota; Clostridia; Lachnospirales; Lachnospiraceae. The record is from RNAcentral.